Molecule: ribosomal RNA, 301 nt
Filed under: uncultured bacterium
Lineage: Bacteria
Description: partial 16S ribosomal RNA
Rfam family: Bacterial small subunit ribosomal RNA
Source: RNAcentral
CAGCAGCCGCGGGAAUACGUAGGGUGCGAGCGUUAAUCGGAAUUACUGGGCGUAAAGCGUGCGCAGGCGGUUGUGUAAGACAGGUGUGAAAUCCCCAGGCUUAACCUGGGAACUGCGCUUGUGACUGCACAGCUAGAGUAUGGCAGAGGGGGGUGGAAUUCCACGUGUAGCAGUGAAAUGCGUAGAGAUGUGGAGGAACACCGAUGGCGAAGGCAGCCCCCUGGGCCAAUACUGACGCUCAUGCACGAAAGCGUGGGGAGCAAACAGGAUUAGAUACCCCCGUAGUCCCUGUCUCUUAUAC